RNAcentral lists this long non-coding RNA (698 nucleotides) under Oryzias sinensis (Chinese medaka). RNAcentral's name for it is "lncRNA (ENSOSIG00000003824.1)". Lineage: Eukaryota; Metazoa; Chordata; Actinopteri; Beloniformes; Adrianichthyidae. The record is from RNAcentral.
AUCUGUCCGAUGUUUUUGACAACAACUGUGUCAUUUAUGCCACAGUGAAGGCUUCCUACGUGUUGGCAAAAAGCAGCAGCUUCACAAACUGUGAAAGUACAGAGGAAAUCUUUCCUUCUGGGUUCCGUGGACCACAGGAGGCUGAGCUCUGCACUGAUGGAUUCCAGAACACUGAGAAGAAAACUCAAGAUGGUCUAAGAUCUCCUCUGAAGAAGAGAGAAAACCCUUUUGAUGAUCAACACUCUCUAAAAAAGCGAGAUUGUCAGUUAGAGGAUGCAGAAAAGGAUCCACCGUUGACACAAAAAGGAGGUGAGUGUAACUGUCUUCUUUGUCAGGUAAUAUCAGGUGUUAAUGUGACUUUCUUUCAUGUCAAUCUGAGUAACAUCCAGGGUUUCCUUUCAUCUGUCUGGAGUGAGUUGACAAAAAUACACCAGGAACUUUCUCAAGGGCAAGUUUCAGAGCCAGAGUUUAUCAGUCAAAGCAUAGAUUUAGAGAGAAAAACAUUCCAAUGUGCUAAUCUGAACUGUAUGACUCCUAAACAGUUAAUAAGAGCUCAGAGUACGAAGUUAUGUGAAAAUCGUCAUUCUUAAAAAAACAAAACUUGUUUUUUACUUAUUAGGUAUGAAACUAUGUCAUUUGUAAGACAAUGCUUCUUUUUAAACGUGAUUGUGUUUAAAAAAUAUUAUUUUUUAUGCAAG